CCUUGGGGGACAUUAGAGGUGCAGAAAUCAACCCCAGUCAACCAGUCUCAGGGAUCAGCGCUCUGGGAGACUCAGAAGGAGAAGGAUCGAAGAACAAAAGGAUCAAGUCACCAUGAUCAACAAGAGGUUCCGAAUGUACAAACCUCCUCUGGAAGAGAAAAGUGAAAACAUCAAUGUUGCAGCCCUGGCAGAUUAUCUGUAUUUCAUCUACCUUAGCAAGCCUCUCAUAUGCCAUCGCUGCCUCGCGCUUCUCAGGGAGCUGAAAAUACAAGCUCUGGCCCAGCAGAGGGAGGCUCUGGCAAGAUCUGCUGAGAAGGGGGCAACUGGCAGUGGGGCAUCUGCCUCCCAGAAGAACAAAGGACCAGAAGGCCAGGAAUAGUGAGAAGACAGGAGCUCCCACAUGAGGCCGGGCACUCACAAGCCCCAUGCCUCUUGUCCGGGGCUUCCUCACAGAGGAUUUCCCAAGGCUCAAGCCUGGACAUGGCCCUAAUGUGAUGGAAAACUAAAUAAAUAUAGCUGGUUAAGGUG
This is a long non-coding RNA of Erinaceus europaeus (western European hedgehog), 528 nucleotides long. RefSeq lists it as uncharacterized. Lineage: Eukaryota; Metazoa; Chordata; Mammalia; Eulipotyphla; Erinaceidae. The transcript is spliced from 2 exons. The record is from RefSeq and is a predicted model, not a curated record.